CCAUGGCGUGCGCGACCCAGAUUUCAGAGGGACUUGGCUGCCAUUAGAAGGAGCCCUCGACCGGAAUCUCCAUUAAAUCGCUUCAUAUCGCAACUUUUGAAGAGUCGUCCAGGAUCGUCUCAGCCGAGUUCGCCGGAAGAAAAUCCGCCGCCCAAGCAUACUACAUCUGAGCCGGAAGAACAUCCCCUGCCCAACAUGCUACCCCAGAGAUCACAUCUUCCUUUGCUAGAACACGUGAGCUGAUUCCGACUUUGGCCUCAAGUUGCUCCCGUCAAUGACAAGUGGGAGGAGUGGGAGUGCUGUGUUCAUGAAAUUGAGUAUCUCAGAAGAAUUUGGUUUGGCACUUAUUUUCCUCAACCUGUUAUUCUUCAAAUGUGCUUCCCAUGGAUUUGAUAAAUUUGGUGAGAUAAUGUUAUGUGUCAGGUAUGGCCAUAAGAUACUCAUGAAACUUAUUUUAUUUUGCCUCACACAAGAUGUAUGUUGUUUAGACUCAUGUACUGCCAGUACUGGUAGAUCGAUGAUCUAAGGAUCAUAUGAAUGAUUAAUGGAGGAUAAUUCAUAUUCAGUUCUCCUCUCAAUUUUUGUGGUGCCAAGCUUGAUCUUUAUCCAUCUAACUGACUGAAAGUGCCUUCUAAUCACUAUUGAACGCAUAUGUUAGUUAGUUUGACUGUAUACACCACACAAAAAGUAAAAAAUGAAUUCUAGAAAAAAUUAGACACAAAUACUACAGAACCAGUGGACCCUCGAGAAACAAAAGGCACACCUAAAGGAUUUUUUUCUUAACAAAAUGUAUUAAUUUGACUAUUUGAGUAUAAAAAAUGUGCAAUCGCAAUCUUGCUUUUUCAAGGAAAACAGGGGACUGCUACAUACUCGAUAUGGAUCGAGGCUAAUUAUUGAUCUUCCAAGUUAAAAAAAUCUGAAAAUAACUUUCAUUUAGUAAUGGAUACAUAGUCAAGAAAGGAUGGCUUUCCCGAAAGAUACAAAACAAAAUCGUGUUCGUGUAUGUCCGGCUGACAGAUGAAUCGAUCUCCUUUCAAGUAUCAACCCAGCAACCUUCGUGUACGUACAUGUGUGCAUCAAGGAUGCACGGGUCCAUUGGCCUGCGUACCACACAUCCCUUCACUAAUUCCAUCAGUAUCAUUCUUAACAAGGUAAGUAUGAUUCCCUAAUCCCUGAUUUUAUUAAUUGAUCUUUGAUGCUUCAUCCCUAAUGUCGUUAUACCUUAUUGAUUCUAUAAAAGAUCUCAAACAGGAACAUACCAUUUUUGAGGCUACGAUUCCUAUAACUUGCCUUGUCAAUUUGAUAAAAUUACAUGUGUAAUGGAGGUUGUAACUUAUUACGGUUUACAUUGUCAGAAUGAUAUCUGUGUCAUCUUAUAUUUGGUGUGCCGGAUUUUUUGAUGUAGAUGCUAUAUAAGAGGAAGCUAUUCGACAAUCCUGCUCAAGUUGGGCAAAAGGAUGCUGUCAGAAUGUAAAAGCACAUUUAACCAUUUCCUGUUUUUUUCCUUGCCUGUUUUCGCCGUCGUAUACACUGCAUCUCCCACUGUAACGGACAGCCAAAUUUGUAUUCUUGAAAGUUUUAAUCAUUUCUAUUGCAACUAAGUGUUCAAGUGCAAUCUCUAGCCAAGUUCUCUUUGUUGUUGUGUUGAAUUUUGAGGAAAGGCGGCCAAGCAGCUCGUGGCAUCUGUGUCACGCCUGCUCUGCCGCUGCCUUGACCCGCCGACGACGUCGCCGGUUGAGCCGCAAGGGUGCAAGAUCAUCGUGGGGCCCAUUGCAUGGGCUCCGAGUAUGCUUGAUUGCCAUGUCGGAGGCGAAGGUGCUAGAGCUUGGUGGCGUGUUUGCAUUUCUGGAUGCAUGAAUAAUUGUCAAGGAGGCUGAAGCCAACGCUAUUACAGUUGGACUGAAGGAAUUGUAUAACGUAUUCUGAGGCUCCUUGGUGGUGGAGAUCGACUACGCAGUGGGGAAAUGAGCUAGGGGCUAAUUCUGUAAGCAGAUCAUUGUCCUACCCAAUUACUGUUGAUAUUAAAUCUGCGCUGAGUAAUUUUUAGGCAUUAUCACAUCAGAACUGUCAAGAGGGACAAACAAUGGGCUGGCUCAUGAACUAGCCAAUGAUGCUAAAGCUCAUGGAGACCUUGUGGUUGCGUAUGGUGUCCCGGACCAACUCCAUGAUCAGCUCUGGAAGGAAAACAAUGCAGCCUUGACGUCGGCCUAAGUCUUGA
Long non-coding RNA from Triticum aestivum (bread wheat), 2218 nucleotides. RefSeq lists it as uncharacterized. NCBI's taxonomy places the organism in Eukaryota, Viridiplantae, Streptophyta, Magnoliopsida, Poales, Poaceae. The record is from RefSeq and is a predicted model, not a curated record. The transcript has 4 exons.